RNAcentral lists this ribosomal RNA (410 nucleotides) under uncultured Methylomirabilota bacterium. Its description in RNAcentral is "bacterial SSU rRNA". It matches the Rfam family "Bacterial small subunit ribosomal RNA", at positions 1025 to 1434 of the family's 1533-position model. The record is from RNAcentral. Lineage: Bacteria; Methylomirabilota (SeqCode).
AGCGUGGAGACAGGUGGUGCAUGGCUGUCGUCAGCUCGUGUCGUGAGAUGUUGGGUUAAGUCCCGCAACGAGCGCAACCCUCACCCUUUGUUGCCAUCAGGUUAUGCUGGGCACUCUAAGGGAACUGCCUCGGUUAACGAGGAGGAAGGUGGGGAUGACGUCAAGUCAUCAUGCCCCUUACGCUCUGGGCUACACACGUGCUACAAUGGCCAAUACAAAGGGCUGCAAACCCGCGAGGGCAAGCCAAUCCCAAAAAAUUGGUCUCAGUUCAGAUUGUAGGCUGCAACCCGCCUGCAUGAAGGAGGAAUCGCUAGUAAUCGUGGAUCAGCAUGCCACGGUGAAUACGUUCCCGGGCCUCGUACACACCGCCCGUCACACCACGAAAGUCUGCUGUACUCGAAGUCGCUGAG